CUUGCUUUGGGGGAAAGGGAUUCUAGUUUCUAUGACCCACCUUGGGGAAGAGGAAUUCUGGUUUCUGUGAAUCACCUCAGAGGAGAAAGACUGGUGGAAAACCGAAGGAUGGGAGAGGUCAGAGAGCCCCGCCUUCUGAGACCUUCCAGUCUCCUUCAGUUUAAAUUACUCAGCAUGUCAAAGUGUUCAGAGCCCAACACCAGGUUAUUGGGCCUUAUGUUCCAAGUAGAGAACUGCAUGGUGUAGACAAGAGGUGGUAUUGAAGGACUGGGUGGCAGAGCAGGGACAAGGUCAAUGGCAUUUCGGAGUUACUCAUCUGGUACCAGUGUGGAGCCUGGAUUCCAGAAGAUCUGCCUGUCUUCUGCAAAGGCCAAACAGGCCAAGUGAGGACACCUUGAGAUGGUGGACCCCCGCCAGCUGGGAAGAGGACCCUCACCUGACCAUGCUGAUGCUCUGAUUGCAGACUUCCAACCUCCAGAACUGUGAGAAAAUAAAUAUUUGUUGCUUAAACCACACACAAAAUGGGCUAAGAUGGUGAAUUUUAUGUAUAU
RNAcentral lists this long non-coding RNA (551 nucleotides) under Homo sapiens (human). RNAcentral describes it as "HSALNT0320680". Lineage: Eukaryota; Metazoa; Chordata; Mammalia; Primates; Hominidae. The record is from RNAcentral.